RNAcentral lists this transfer RNA (65 nucleotides) under Trichuris arvicolae. Its description in RNAcentral is "tRNA-Leu". The record is from RNAcentral. Lineage: Eukaryota; Metazoa; Nematoda; Enoplea; Trichinellida; Trichuridae.
UUUAGUAUGGCAGAUCAAAUGCAAUCGACUUAAGAUCGAUACAUAAUUCUUAGAAUUUACUAACA